RNAcentral lists this ribosomal RNA (419 nucleotides) under uncultured bacterium. Its description in RNAcentral is "bacterial SSU rRNA". It matches the Rfam family "Bacterial small subunit ribosomal RNA", at positions 355 to 765 of the family's 1533-position model. The record is from RNAcentral.
UAGGGAAUCUUCCACAAUGGACGCAAGUCUGAUGGAGCAACGCCGCGUGAGUGAAGAAGGUUUUCGGAUCGUAAAGCUCUGUUGUUGGUGAAGAAGGAUAGAGGUAGUAACUGGCCUUUAUUUGACGGUAAUCAACCAGAAAGUCACGGCUAACUACGUGCCAGCAGCCGCGGUAAUACGUAGGUGGCAAGCGUUGUCCGGAUUUAUUGGGCGUAAAGCGAGCGCAGGCGGAAGAAUAAGUCUGAUGUGAAAGCCCUCGGCUUAACCGAGGAACUGCAUCGGAAACUGUUUUUCUUGAGUGCAGAAGAGGAGAGUGGAACUCCAUGUGUAGCGGUGGAAUGCGUAGAUAUAUGGAAGAACACCAGUGGCGAAGGCGGCUCUCUGGUCUGCAACUGACGCUGAGGCUCGAAAAGCAUGGG